Non-coding RNA from Doryrhamphus excisus (bluestripe pipefish), 2709 nucleotides. The record is from RefSeq and is a predicted model, not a curated record. NCBI's taxonomy places the organism in Eukaryota, Metazoa, Chordata, Actinopteri, Syngnathiformes, Syngnathidae.
UCAGUAGGACCACAGCUAGCCAUUCGGUACAUUAGAAGGUUUGCUCUCGUGCUGUAUAUACCUGUCUGCGUUCGUGAUAAAGAAACCAGACACAUUAAGACAUACGACUCACCACGGGCGAGGAGUGCUCGUUACCUGCUGGACCAGAAUGUUUCCCCCAUUGAGAAUAGAGAUGCCCAGCUUCAGGGUAAAGGUCACCAUAGCAACCAGUCGACCUGAUUGAUGACCAUAAGGUAUAAAUCAUACUUACAGCGAUAAGUGGUGACUGCAUGAGACGGGACUGGUGAAGAUACUCCACCUUUACUAGCACCAAUCAUCUGGAGCACCAUUUCUGCAGCCCCGCGGUCGUGCAGUCGAGCCUGCUGUCAUACCUCAAAGGUUUUGUCUUUUUCUUCCUCGUCGUUCUCCUCUUCACCUUCUGCACAACUCUGAGAAAGAAAAUACGUCAAACCUACCAAUUUUUGUAUCAGUCAGAGCCAAUAAGACAUUAAAGUACCUUUGCCAUCAUAUCGGCAUAUGCAAUAUAUAAAGGAUCUUCUUCCAAAGAACUGAAGGACAAAAUAUCAUCAGUACCGUAUGAGUCAAAUCUGAUGGUUCUGAACUGCAAAGCAUUCAGUCAAACGUGUGUGGGUAUGCCCAUAAUUUACCUGCACUCGGUCAAAGCAUUGUGGCUGAAAUGCAGAAUGAGUUGGUGAAGAGGAUCCGGCUGUUUCCGGAUGUCCUCCUCUUCCUCGUCUUCAACUUUGGGCUGUGUUUUCUAGACAAGUCAAGGCCUCUCAUUAUGAACUGUACGGUACAUUAGACUGCUGUGAGGCCGCCUGACUCACCUGGACACGACAAGCUUCUAUGUGGAUACACCGGGAGCAUGCAGGCCAUCAAGCACACGGACAAGGAUAUUCUCAUGCAAAGGUGACAUGCAGCAGCUUGGUAAAGGCGUAGAAUGGAAGUAAGCAUGAUUCUCCGUGAGCCCACUUUACAUGUUUAAAUGUUUUAGCGCAGGGGUUGGCAAACUACGGCCCGGGGGCCACAUGCGGCCCGCCAGUUGCUUCCAAAGUACUGUAUUUUCUGGACUAUAAGUCGCACAAUGCCAAAAAUGCAUAAUUAGGUAGAAAAAAAAACAUAAUUCCCACUGGAGUAUAAGUCGCACUUUUUGCGGGUAAUUUAUUUUACAAACUACUUGACCAAAACCGACAUUAUGUCCUCUUGGAAGGAAAGUUCUAACAAUAAAAGAAUAGAGAACAGACUGAAUAGGUGUAAGAUAUGCUAACACAAUGGUUAUUUUAGUUUAAGUAACAUAAACAGUUUUUUCAUUUACAAGUCGCUCUGGAGUAUAAGUCACAGGAACAGCCAACCUAUGAAAAAAAAGCAUGAGUUAUGGUCCAGAAAAUACGGUAUUUAGACCCUCGUGAGGAAAAAGCGGUAAAAAAUGAAUGAAUGAAUGAACCUUUAACAUACAAAUACUCCCCCUGGUGGCAGUGAGCAGCGUAGGGUCACGUCAGCGCUUUUUGACUGUAUACUGGGCGAUGAAAUUGCUUUCCUAACAUUAUUUUCCUUUUCUAUUCUUUCAAAACCCAUCCAAAUUUAGGACCUCAUAACCAAAACAGUUUUUCUCCGUUAUUAUGCAGGUUUUAAACAAGUGGAAGAAGAAUAUAAAUACUAAAGAAGCACAGACUAAACAUUAAAUUGGCAAGCUGAACAUAGCACUACAAGACAACUCGGUGAUGCCGCUCUGACAUCAGCGGCGAUGUCAUGCUUGCUACACAAAUGGGCCACCUCACUGACAGGUGAUAAGAAACACUAUGAAAGGCCAGGUGUCACCCAGUGCAAUGUGGCAGACGCCGUCAAAACAAUAUCACAAGUAAAGCAGGAUGGGACGGGGGGGGAGGGCCAAAGCUACCCGCAGCACGUCCGCCAACACAAAUGUACGGGAGGGCCUUUAUUAGUACUUACUGCAAGAUCCUGUACUAGCUUCUCUUCAAAAGAGUACUCCUCUGUUUCUAUCCAUAUUCUCUGAUAGGCCAGGAGGAAGAGGUUAAUAGAGCGAUGCCUACGGAGGGGGUAAGAGGACAUUAGCCUGGGUUAGAUCCAAGCAGAGCAAAGGAGGGAAGCAGGCCCUUGAGGAGAGGUUUAGAACGGUUAGUCAGGGUACUGGUACAUCCCACUGGCCAUACAUUGGUUAUGGUUUAAGAAAGAUAAAUGUCAGACGUCACAAAUUGAUUGCUUGUCAGCUUUGAGGAGGAUCAGUCAAACCCGAUUGGGUGAGCAGAAUAAUGUUGUAUAAUAAUACAGUAAACCUCGGAUAUAUCGGAUUCAAUUGUUCCCACUGGUUUUGUCCGAUAUAAGCGAAAUCCGUUAUAUGCGUAUACCGGAAAAUGUCCGUUUUACGCAUAUAUCUGAUUUAUAUCCGGUAUAUGCAUAAAUCGGAUUUUAUCCGUUAUAAAAAGGCACUUCCUUGACUAUGUUUCCAAUGUACCUGGACGCACAGGCAACGCUGCAAACGCUGCAAAUGACGUCGUAUAGCGGCCUGUCACGAUUCGGCGAAUCGGAGCGCCACGAUGCGGCCAUCCCAUACGUAUAUGCAAGGGAAAUUUAAUGGAAAUGCAUUGGAACGGGACUGGAGAUUUUGUCCGAAAUAGGCGAAAUCCGUUAUAAAAAAUCCGAUAUAUGCAAUGAAUUUUUAUUGGAAAUGCAUUACAGAAAAAUGGGUUC